GCCGGGCAUGGUGGUGUGUGCCUGUAAUCCUAGCUACUUGAGAGGCUGAGGCAGGAGAAUUGCUUGAGCCCAGGAGACAGAGGUUGCAGUGAGCAGAGAUUGUGCCACUGCACUCCAGCCUGGCCCACAGAGUGAGACUCUGUCUCUA
Callithrix jacchus (white-tufted-ear marmoset) is the source of this 148-nucleotide non-coding RNA. Lineage: Eukaryota; Metazoa; Chordata; Mammalia; Primates; Cebidae. The record is from Rfam.